RNAcentral lists this transfer RNA (72 nucleotides) under Mycobacterium phage Bromden. Its description in RNAcentral is "tRNA-Asn". It matches the Rfam family "tRNA". From Rfam's summary of the family: Transfer RNA (tRNA) molecules are approximately 80 nucleotides in length. The record is from RNAcentral. Lineage: Duplodnaviria; Heunggongvirae; Uroviricota; Caudoviricetes; Vilmaviridae. RNAcentral also lists the same sequence under 3 other names.
UCCUCUGUCGUUCAAUGGCAGGACGGCUGACUGUUGAUCAGCUUAUGGUGGUUCGAGUCCAUCCAGGGGAGC